AUUGAACGCUGGCGGCAUGCCUUACACAUGCGAGUCGAACGGCAGCACGGGUGCUUGCACCUGGUGGCGAGUGGCGCACGGGUGAGUAAUACAUCGGAACAUGUCCUGUAGUGGGGGAUAGCCCGGCGAAAGCCGGAUUACUACCGCAUACGAUCUACGGAUGAAAGCGGGGGACCUUCGGGCCUCGCGCUAUAGGGUUGGCCGAUGGCUGAUUAGCUAGUUGGUGGGGUAAAGGCCUACCAAGGCGACGAUCAGUAGCUGGUCUGAGAGGACGACCAGCCACACUGGGACUGAGACACGGCCCAGACUCCUACGGGAGGCAGCAGUGGGGAAUUUUGGACAAUGGGCGAAAGCCUGAUCCAGCAAUGCCGCGUGUGUGAAGAAGGCCUUCGGGUUGUAAAGCACUUUUGUCCGGAAAGAAAUCCUUUGCCCUAAUACGGUCGGGGGAUGACGGUACCGGAAGAAUAAGCACCGGCUAACUACGUG
This 486-nucleotide ribosomal RNA is filed under the name uncultured bacterium. RNAcentral describes it as "partial 16S ribosomal RNA". It matches the Rfam family "Bacterial small subunit ribosomal RNA", at positions 30 to 507 of the family's 1533-position model. The record is from RNAcentral.